GGGCCUGCACAAGCGGUGGAGCAUGUGGUUUAAUCGAUGCAACGCGAAGAACCUUACCUGGUCUUGACAUAUCAAGAAUCCUGCAGAGAUGCGGGAGUGCCUUCGGGAAUUAGAAUACAGGUGGUGCAUGGCUGUCGUCAGCUCGUGUCGUGAGAUGAUGGGUUAAGUCCCGCAACGAGCGCAACCCUUGUCCUUAGUUACCAGCGGUUUGGCCGGGAACUAUAAGGAUACUGCCAGUGACAAACUGGAGGAAGGCGGGGACGACGUCAAGUCAUCAUGGCCCUUACGACCAGGGCUACACACGUGCUACAAUGGUAGGUACAGAGGGCAGCUACACAGCGAUGUGAUGCGAAUCUCAAAAAGCCUAUCGUAGUCCAGAUUGGAGUCUGCAACUCGACUCCAUGAAGUAGGAAUCGCUAGUAAUCGCGGAUCAGAAUGCCGCGGAGAAUACGUUCCCGGGCCUUGUACACACC
Molecule: ribosomal RNA, 473 nt
Filed under: Psychrobacter sp.
Lineage: Bacteria; Pseudomonadati; Pseudomonadota; Gammaproteobacteria; Moraxellales; Moraxellaceae
Description: bacterial SSU rRNA
Rfam family: Bacterial small subunit ribosomal RNA
Source: RNAcentral